This 250-nucleotide ribosomal RNA is filed under the name uncultured bacterium. Its description in RNAcentral is "partial 16S ribosomal RNA". It matches the Rfam family "Bacterial small subunit ribosomal RNA", at positions 524 to 773 of the family's 1533-position model. The record is from RNAcentral.
UACGAAGGGGGCUAGCGUUGUUCGGAAUCACUGGGCGUAAAGCGCACGCAGGCGGAUUGAUAAGUCAGGGGUGAAAUCCCGGGGCUUAACCUCGGAAUUGCCUUUGAUACUGUCUGUCUUGAGUUCGGGAGAGGUUGGUGGAAUUCCUAGUGUAGAGGUGAAAUUCGUAGAUAUUAGGAAGAACACCAGUGGCGAAGGCGACCAACUGGCCCGAAACUGACGCUCAUGUGCGAAAGCGUGGGGAGCAAAC